This 492-nucleotide ribosomal RNA is filed under the name uncultured bacterium. RNAcentral describes it as "partial 16S ribosomal RNA". It matches the Rfam family "Bacterial small subunit ribosomal RNA", at positions 29 to 507 of the family's 1533-position model. The record is from RNAcentral.
AGUGAACGCUGGCGGUAGGCCUAACACAUGCAAGUCGAACGGCAGCACAGUAAGAUCUUUCUCCUACGGGUGGCGAGUGGCGGACGGGUGAGGAAUACAUCGCAAUCUACUUUUUCGUGGGGGAUAACGUAGAGAAACUGACGCUAAUACCGCAUACGACCUACGGCUGAAAGCAGUGGAGCUUCGGACUUUGCGCGAUUGAUUGAGCCGGCGUCGGAUUAGCUAGUUGGCGUGGUAAGGGCCCACCAAGGCGACGAUGCGUAGCCGAGCUGAGAGGAUGAUCAGGCACACUGGAACUGAGACACGGUCCAGACUCCUACGGGAGGGAGCAGUAGGGAAUCUUCGGCAAAGGGCGAAAGCCUGACGGAGCAACGCCGCGUGAGUGAAGAAGGGCUUCGGGUCGUAAAACUCUUUUUUUAGGGAAGAAAAAAUGUGUAAGUAACUACCCGCGUCUUGACGGGACCCAAACAGAAAGCCACGGCUAAAUUCGUG